This 75-nucleotide transfer RNA is filed under the name Marmota monax (woodchuck). RNAcentral's name for it is "tRNA.Undet". Lineage: Eukaryota; Metazoa; Chordata; Mammalia; Rodentia; Sciuridae. The record is from RNAcentral.
UGGGUUGUGGCUCAGUGGUAGAGCGCUUGCCUAGCAGCAUGUGUGAGGCACUGGGUUCAAUCCUCAACACCACAU